Molecule: unclassified non-coding RNA, 385 nt
Filed under: fungal sp.
Lineage: Eukaryota; Fungi
Description: partial internal transcribed spacer region
Rfam family: Eukaryotic small subunit ribosomal RNA (bases 1-46)
Source: RNAcentral
AAGUCGUAACAAGGUUUCCGUAGGUGAACCUGCGGAAGGAUCAUUAACACGUUUUUAACGUUCCAAAGUCUGUGGACUGAAGUUCUCCCCGCAUGAACGUCGCUGUUCGGAUAGGGCUGGGAUGUGCGGCUUAUACCUGAGUAAUUGACCUGGCAACAGUUGACUCUGAAAGGGUAUUGAGUUCGUGGCACCUACGAGCACUGGGUUCGACCCAGAAGCGACCUCAAUAGGGAUAAACCGAGCCUUUGCAUCACGGGCUCAACCACUUUUCAAACCAACUCAAUGACAUUUGACUGAUAAAAACCUUUGAAUGGGAAACCAUUUGAUUGUAGACCAUAGUUAUACAAACUAAGUACAACUCUUAGCAAUGGAUAUCUUGGUUCCC